This 253-nucleotide ribosomal RNA is filed under the name uncultured bacterium. RNAcentral's name for it is "partial 16S ribosomal RNA". It matches the Rfam family "Bacterial small subunit ribosomal RNA", at positions 524 to 776 of the family's 1533-position model. The record is from RNAcentral.
UACGUAGGGUGCGAGCGUUGUCCGGAAUUACUGGGCGUAAAGAGCUCGUAGGUGGUUUGUCGCGUUGUUCGUGAAAACUCACAACUCAAUUGUGGGCGUGCGGGCGAUACGGGCAGACUGGAGUACUGCAGGGGAGACUGGAAUUCCUGGUGUAGCGGUGAAAUGCGCAGAUAUCAGGAGGAACACCGGUGGCGAAGGCGGGUCUCUGGGCAACAACUGACGCUGAGGAGCGAAAGCGUGGGGAGCGAACAGG